RNAcentral lists this ribosomal RNA (253 nucleotides) under uncultured bacterium. Its description in RNAcentral is "partial 16S ribosomal RNA". It matches the Rfam family "Bacterial small subunit ribosomal RNA", at positions 524 to 776 of the family's 1533-position model. The record is from RNAcentral.
UACGUAGGGGGCAAGCGUUGUCCGGAUUUAUUGGGCGUAAAGAGCGUGUAGGCGGUUUGGUAGGUCCGUUGUGAAAACUCGAGGCUCAACCUCGAGACGUCGGUGGAAACCGUAUGGCUAGAGUCCGGAAGAGGAGAGUGGAAUUCCUGGUGUAGCGGUGAAAUGCGCAGAUAUCAGGAAGAACACCCGUGGCGAAGGCGGCUCUCUGGGCAGUAACUGACGCUGAGGAGCGAAAGCGUGGGGAGCGAACAGG